GAUGAACGCUGGCGGCGUGCCUAAUACAUGCAAGUCGAGCGAACGGACGAGAAGCUUGCUUCUCUGAUGUUAGCGGCGGACGGGUGAGUAACACGUGGAUAACCUACCUAUAAGACUGGGAUAACUUCGGGAAACCGGAGCUAAUACCGGAUAAUAUUUUGAACCGCAUGGUUCAAAAGUGAAAGGCGGUCUUGCUGUCACUUAUAGAUGGAUCCGCGCUGCAUUAGCUAGUUGGUAAGGUAACGGCUUACCAAGGCAACGAUGCAUAGCCGACCUGAGAGGGUGAUCGGCCACACUGGAACUGAGACACGGUCCAGACUCCUACGGGAGGCAGCAGUAGGGAAUCUUCCGCAAUGGGCGAGAGCCUGACGGAGCAACGCCGCGUGAGUGAUGAAGGUCUUCGGAUCGUAAAACUCUGUUAUUAGGGAAGAACAUAUGUGUAAGUAACUGUGCACAUCUUGACGGUACCUAAUCAGAAAGCCACGGCUAACUACGUG
Molecule: ribosomal RNA, 497 nt
Filed under: uncultured bacterium
Lineage: Bacteria
Description: partial 16S ribosomal RNA
Rfam family: Bacterial small subunit ribosomal RNA
Source: RNAcentral